RNAcentral lists this unclassified non-coding RNA (2520 nucleotides) under Leishmania donovani. RNAcentral's name for it is "gene:LdHU3.34.4120(CDS-product:hypothetical_prote in_conserved)". Lineage: Eukaryota; Euglenozoa; Kinetoplastea; Trypanosomatida; Trypanosomatidae. The record is from RNAcentral.
GUCAAGCUUCAAGUGUCCCGGGGCAGCGGAGGACCCUCCCAGGCAGCCUUGCGAACAAAUCCUCCACACACACACCUCCCUAUAUACGCAUAUAUAUCUAUAUACAUACAGUUGCACACACGCGCUGACCGGCGAAGGCAGGCGCUUUUCUUUUCCAUUUUACGCUUUCCUGCCAUCACAUCUGUGUAGCGUGGCACGCACACGGUUGUCUCUCCCGCACGCAUCACUGAUUGACGCCACCACACCCUUCGACAGCGCACGUUUGAUUUGCUUGCUUUCAGUUUCUGUGUCCAUAUUCACCUGCCUAGACUUAGAUCUGGUAGCGCCGCUACCUGCUGCUGCGCGUGCGCUCCUUCCUUAUUGUUUUAUUUCGUCCGCUCUGCUUGUUAACCUGCAACCUGGCUGCAAAUCACCACUUCCUCAGCCGCUGCCGGACGUUGCCGUAGAUCAUCGAGUUAGGGACAGGUUGGAAACCACUGCGUCGUUUUCGUUAUUAGUAUUUUCAUAUACGGCUGCUUCGCGGUCGCGUCGCACCACCAGCGCACCUCCUGCCACGACAGUGGCCGUUGAGUGAAGUUACCCAGGCACUCACAGAAGGACAAUGACCAACACUCAUACACACUCACCAAUGACCUGUGCACCACAGGUUCACCACUCUGCACCUAAUAUCCUUGCGUUUCACGAGAGCCAUCAUGAUUUGAUAAAGGGCACACUCGCGCCCGACCUGCAUGGCAACCUCCCGCGCCACCUUCGCAGUGUGAUUCUGCAGACAAACCGGGCACCAUUUCGGCUACCUGCUACGGGCGCGCCGCGGUCCUCACCGUAUCGCACGCCGCAGUGGACUGAGCUCAGCGAGUGCAUUCGUGAAGUGUCGCCACCUCCCUUCCCAGAUGAGGAUGUCCGUCGCCUCGCCGGAUCCCGCGCAGAGCCGCUCUCUCACUCGCCAUCGACGACGAUGUCUUUGCCAGGAUAUGCGGUGGUAAGGCGCCUCGCAGAUCUUUCUCAGGCGUCCGAUGUAGACCCGGCAGCCAUCACAGCCGCUCUGCGAGAGGCUGAGAGGGUGCUGGAGGUUCCCAUGGACGCCGGCACAAACCGUGAAUAUGCACGCUGCAGCGGUGCGAUGAUUGCCGAGCGCUCCACAGACGAGGAGCGCUUACCUCUGAGUCGUGGGCGAGCGACAUCGUCGGUCGCGUCAUCCGCCUCUGCCCGGCUUCGCGAGGAGGAUGCUCAAUCGCGAUGCCCGCGCCACCACCAUGAGCACCCGCGGCAUCAGCGCCACCACUGCGAUGGGAGCCGUGCACUUUCACCUGAGCACGUCACUGCAGCCUCCGGAUUAGGGGCAGCAUCUUGCUUCCACAGCUCCUCACCCUGGGGCUGGCCAGCCCCCGCACCUGUCCUUUCUGGAUCGCCGGCGCCGCCCCGUCCCGCUCCCACUGCAACAAAUUCGCCAGCGAACAACCACGCCGGCCCCCAUGCAUCUUCCAGCACAGCGGGCGUUCUUGACCCCACCCUGCGUUGGUAUGACGUGUACUACGCCUGGAUGUUCUACUACCAGCAGCUGUACGCCGCACAGGCGCUGCAGGAACGGCAGCGGCAGCGCGCGAAGCGAGGGAAGAGAGAGAAGAGAGAGAGUCACCGCACUCCUCACGGCAGGCAUGCUGUCUCUCGCGCAGCCAGCUCGGGGCCGGAAGCGUCGAUGGGAAACCAAGAAGAUGGCACCCACUAUGCUCACGUGCUGCGGCAGCCUCGCGCCGUGGCACGGGUAGAGCGAGGUGGCGGUCCCGAAGGGGCCGUUCGUAGUAUGUCCGAGGCUUCCGUGUCAAUGAGUGCACAGCCGAUUCGUCAUCAUUGCCCCAUUUCACCUCCAAAGCCAAGCACUCACACCCGCGCGUCGCAAACACCACGGGUGCCGGGUGAGAAAAACGCAAAAGGUGACGACCGGGCAGCGCGUCUUCGCGCGGAGCUGCGCCGCCUCGAGGAGGAGUACGCGACCUUGUCGUCUUCGUUGGCCGAUGUCGAAGGUGACGAGGCGCAGCCUCCGACCUGUGCUGAUGGCCGCAUCAGACACUUUGCUGCUGCCUCUGCCGCAGGCGCGACCAUCGCAAGACCGCAGCCAGCGUGUCCACCUGCACCAGCAGAGGCUCGCGCGCAGAGGGGUAAGUGGCUGGACAGCCGCGACGAUGUCGGCCCAACCUCGCACCGAGGUUCUGCAGCUCCAGCGGAAACGUGGCAGGCUCUUUCGGAGCGUCAGCGCAACGAAACCUUUCACUCGAUGGCGCGCGUCCGCGCAAGUCGUGGUCCCUCACCACAGCCGCUCUCACGUCAGCGACCACAGUGGCGACACUGACGGCGCACCGGCGACGGCUGCGUUUUUUUUUUUCCUGCGGUGUUUCCGCGCAACGGUGCGACGUUACAAGGACACACAGGAGAACUUGAGGAAAGAGGCAAAACACGUGAGUCACCGAAGCGCAGCACUCCAGCUCGCUGUGCCGUUGUCGCGCAGCCAUGCCUGCAACACCG